Molecule: ribosomal RNA, 250 nt
Filed under: uncultured bacterium
Lineage: Bacteria
Description: partial 16S ribosomal RNA
Rfam family: Bacterial small subunit ribosomal RNA
Source: RNAcentral
UACGAGUGCCCCGAGCGUUAUCCGGAAUUACUGGGUGUAAAGGGUGCGUAGGCGGCGUUAUUAGUCUUCCGUGAAAGCCCCGGGCUCAACCCGGGAAACGCGAAAGAAACGGUAAUGCUAGAGAGUGUGAGGGGUUUGCGGAACUCAUGGUGUAGGGGUGAAAUCCGUUGAUAUCAUGGGGAACACCGAAAGCGAAGGCAGCAAACUGGCGCAUUUCUGACGCUCAAGCACGAAAGCGUGGGUCGCGAAU